ACGGAAGGCAGCAGUGGGGACUAUUGGGCAAUGGGCGAAAGCCUGACCCAGCAACGCCGCGUGAAGGAAGAAGGUCUUCGGAUUGUAAACUUCUUUUAUGAGGGACGAAGGACGUGACGGUACCUCAUGAAUAAGCCACGGCUAACUACGUGCCAGCAGCCGCGGUAAUACGUAGGUGGCAAGCGUUAUCCGGAUUUACUGGGUGUAAAGGGCGCGUAGGCGGGAAGGCAAGUCAGAUGUGAAAUCCAUGGGCUCAACCCAUGAACUGCAUUUGAAACUGUUUUUCUUGAGUGCUGGAGAGGUAGACGGAAUUCCUUGUGUAGCGGUGAGAUGCGUAGAUAUAAGGAAGAACACCAGUGGCGAAGGCGGUCUACUGGACAGUAACUGACGCUGAGGCGCGAAAGCGUGGGGAGCAAACAGGAUUAGAUACCCUGGUA
Molecule: ribosomal RNA, 437 nt
Filed under: uncultured Oscillospiraceae bacterium
Lineage: Bacteria; Bacillati; Bacillota; Clostridia; Eubacteriales; Oscillospiraceae
Description: partial 16S ribosomal RNA
Rfam family: Bacterial small subunit ribosomal RNA
Source: RNAcentral